GGAUGAACGCUGGCGGCGUGCCUAAUACAUGCAAGUCGAACGCUUUGUGGUUCAACUGAUUUGAAGAGCUUGCUCAGAUAUGACGAUGGACAUUGCAAAGAGUGGCGAACGGGUGAGUAACACGUGGGAAACCUACCUCUUAGCAGGGGAUAACAUUUGGAAACAGAUGCUAAUACCGUAUAACAAUGACAACCGCAUGGUUGUUAUUUAAAAGAUGGUUCUGCUAUCACUAAGAGAUGGUCCCGCGGUGCAUUAGCUAGUUGGUAAGGUAAUGGCUUACCAAGGCGAUGAUGCAUAGCCGAGUUGAGAGACUGAUCGGCCACAAUGGGACUGAGACACGGCCCAUACUCCUACGGGAGGCAGCAGUAGGGAAUCUUCCACAAUGGGCGAAAGCCUGAUGGAGCAACGCCGCGUGUGUGAUGAAGGGUUUCGGCUCGUAAAACACUGUUGUAAGAGAAGAAUGACAUUGAGAGUAACUGUUCAAUGUGUGACGGUAUCUUACCAGAAAGGAACGGCUAAAUACGUGCCAGCAGCCGCGGUAAUACGUAUGUUCCAAGCGUUAUCCGGAUUUAUUGGGCGUAAAGCGAGCGCAGACGGUUAUUUAAGUCUGAAGUGAAAGCCCUCAGCUCAACUGAGGAAUUGCUUUGGAAACUGGAUGACUUGAGUGCAGUAGAGGAAAGUGGAACUCCAUGUGUAGCGGUGAAAUGCGUAGAUAUAUGGAAGAACACCAGUGGCGAAGGCGGCUUUCUGGACUGUAACUGACGUUGAGGCUCGAAAGUGUGGGUAGCAAACAGGAUUAGAUACCCUGGUAGUCCACACCGUAAACGAUGAGUGCUAGGUGUUUGAGGGUUUCCGCCCUUAAGUGCCGCAGCUAACGCAUUAAGCACUCCGCCUGGGGAGUACGACCGCAAGGUUGAAACUCAAAGGAAUUGACGGGGACCCGCACAAGCGGUGGAGCAUGUGGUUUAAUUCGAAGCAACGCGAAGAACCUUACCAGGUCUUGACAUCCCUUGACAACUCCAGAGAUGGAGCGUUCCCUUCGGGGACAAGGUGACAGGUGGUGCAUGGUUGUCGUCAGCUCGUGUCGUGAGAUGUUGGGUUAAGUCCCGCAACGAGCGCAACCCUUAUUACUAGUUGCCAGCAUUCAGUUGGGCACUCUAGUGAGACUGCCGGUGACAAACCGGAGGAAGGUGGGGAUGACGUCAAAUCAUCAUGCCCCUUAUGACCUGGGCUACACACGUGCUACAAUGGCGUAUACAACGAGUUGCCAACCCGCGAGGGUGAGCUAAUCUCUUAAAGUACGUCUCAGUUCGGAUUGUAGGCUGCAACUCGCCUACAUGAAGUCGGAAUCGCUAGUAAUCGCGGAUCAGCACGCCGCGGUGAAUACGUUCCCGGGUCUUGUACUCACC
Molecule: ribosomal RNA, 1409 nt
Filed under: uncultured Bacilli bacterium
Lineage: Bacteria; Bacillati; Bacillota; Bacilli
Description: bacterial SSU rRNA
Rfam family: Bacterial small subunit ribosomal RNA
Source: RNAcentral